This is a long non-coding RNA of Gossypium raimondii (Peruvian cotton), 2773 nucleotides long. RefSeq lists it as uncharacterized. NCBI's taxonomy places the organism in Eukaryota, Viridiplantae, Streptophyta, Magnoliopsida, Malvales, Malvaceae. The record is from RefSeq and is a predicted model, not a curated record. The transcript is spliced from 2 exons.
CUCACCCAUUCAUCUUCCAAGAGUUUUUUUCUCUUGACCGUCCAUUCUUGAAAAGUCUCCCUAUUUAUUAAUGUUUUAUUGGGAGAGUUGUUUCGUUCUUAUCCCUCUAAUUAUCUCUUUCUUGCCUUGCCCUUUUACUUUUUCUUGCAGAUCAGAUUUAUCUUCUAUGAUAUUUCUUUCAAGUUUCUGCCUUCGGAAUCGGUUGCGUCGCUUCACGAACUUCGAUUUGAUGUAAGAUUUUCUACGAUAGGAGUAUUAUUGUUACCGGAUCUAUGUUUUACAUUGCUUCAGGUGCUUUAGAGUUGGGAAGCAGGCAACGGAUGUCUUGGUGUAUAUUAAUUUGGAAGAUCUUUGCCUUUUACGGAGGGUUGGUGAAGGAUUAGAUACUUGGAUGAGAAUUUGGACGAUGGCGUUGUUCUUCCGAUGUUCUAAUUCAGCCGUCUGAUCUAUGGCCGAUGUGGGAUUCACAGGUUGUUAUGCUUAUGAAAGGAUGUGUAAGAUGUCAGGGCAAAAGGGCCUUAAUAUUGAUUGGAAGGGGCUGAGUCCUGAUCUAUCUUUGUCAUCCAAGACCUUUGCCAUGACAGGUGCGCUUGCAUGGCAGGUCACCCAAACUUAAUAAAAAUUUUAUUUUCUUGGUGUUUUUGAGGGGAGUUCGCACGGGGUUGCCCGGGUUCUCCCCUCUGCUGUGGUGUGGUGUGGUGUUUCCCGCUCUUUUACUUUUUUUUUCUUCCUCUUUUCUCGCUUUCCACUAUUUUUCCUUUGAUACUCUGCACCAUUCGGGAUGGAUUCAUGAUCCAAUUCAUCAUCUCCAUCAUCAUGGUCAACAUGGAAUAAGCUCAUGAUCUCCAAACCAUUGAUCGCAAGGCCAAGGUAUUCUUUACAUAUUUAAAACCAAAAUUUGCCCUAUCGAAUUUUACUUUUAAAAUUUAAAUAUGUUUUCUAUUAUGCAAGUAGGUUACCUAUAAUUUUGACAAAUCUAACUAUUGUCAUUACUUUCCAACAUAUUUUUUUCUUAUUAAAAAUCACUCAUAAAUUUUUGAAAGGAAUUCACUGAUAAUUUAAUUAAAAAUAAAUUCAUUUAUAAUUAUAUUUACUAUCUUUGAAAAAAAGUACCAAGUUAAUUUAAUACGAUAUUAAUUGUUUUCUUUUGAGUGUUGUUGUGAUGAAGAGCAAUAGGUUUUAUUUCUGACUUUGAGGAGAGGCCUCUUGAUGCUUGAACCCAUAAUCUCUAUAUUCCUUGUGGUAAUGGGAUCGUUUGUUCAAGUAUAAAGAGGUACCUCUUGGCAGAAUCUUGAGAUAAAAUUUUGUGCUGCUCUCCAGUGCAAUAAUAUUCUGAAGAAAACGAUACUUUGGUCUUAUCAGUAUGACAACAAAAAUAGUUUUCAAAAUUAGAUUAUACCAAGUUACUUCAACUCUGAUUAAUUUUUCAUUCUUAGAAAAGCUUAUUUAUAAACAAUUACUUACAAACUGACGACUCUUUGCCUAAUUUCUUUUUCUUAAAGAAAUUUUGUUUUUAAAACCAAUUUACUCUUUUGGUAUAAAUGAAAUUAAAUGAACUUAACGUUACUUAGAAAGAAGUAAUUAAUAUUAAUAUUGGUAGAUAAAUUUAUCAUUUUGGUAACGUCAUUUAAGUCGUAGUCUGAUUAAAAACUGGUUCUAACUUAAAGUGCAUUGAAAUGAAUUUGGUUAUAUGUUAGACUUGCAAUAUAGAGUUGAACAGAACAUCUCCAAUUGCCGUGAUUCAUAUAGAGAAAUAGUGCAGUUUCUACUUUUUUUCAAGAUGCAUUGAAAAAUCCCUUAAUUUCCACAAUCUCUCAACUGAUAUUCAUCAUUGAUUCAAAAGUGCUGCCAAUACUACAGCUUGAAAGUACUUUCUAUUGAUGGCCAUUCACGUUAAAAGGUUUCCACCAUUUACGAUCAAAUUACCAGUGUGUCUAUCAUGAUUGUUCUAUUUCAAGGUUUAUUUCCAUCUCAUAUCAUUUUGCCUGCAACCACUUUAAUUCCCUUUAAUUCUUAUGGUAUUUUAUCUGUAUAUUUUUGCUAGUGCAUUACCGAACUCUGUACUUGUAGGAGAAUGCCAUGUGCAGGUUGAGGCAUGUAUUUUUGUGUGUAUUGCUUUUUGUAGUUCUUUAGGCCCUUGCAUGGGCUUCUUUUUUAGAUGGAUUGAAGGUUGGGACUUCACUAGCACUAGAUAUUGGAAGGUGUACCAUGUCAAGCAUGUUGGCCAAUAUUAACACUGGAAAUCAAGGCCUACAAGGUGAACUGUAAAUCUAGCUUUGCCAAGUUUCAAGAUUUAUGUCCGAAGGCAUGGUUAGACAUAAGAGGCAAGGGAUCAAAGCUUUGGAGGGCUCCUAGUCGGGAUGAUCAUCUCAAAUUCACAUGCAGUAGCAGGUCUAUUCCUGGAAGAUUAUUCAUUAGUUGCUAAUUUGAAGCAAGAGUUAAUUGUUUGAACCCCCUCUUGGUUUACGUGGUGCAGUGCUCUACUUAGUGUUGAAGAACUACUGUUAGUUGUUGAAGUUGGUCAUACGAGGUACAUGUCUACUGUGUAACAAGUUCCUUUACAUAGUGAAAAUUUUUAGCGGACUACGGUCCCGUGGUUUUUCCCCUUGAAAUAUCAAGGGGUUUUCCACGUAAAUUCUGGUGUCUUGUUUUACAUUCAUAUUGCACGAUAAUGUUGCUCAUUGGCACUUCAACAAUUACGCUGAAAUACGUCUUAGGGCAGAUUUUAUAUGCCUAUAGCAGGUAUGAAAAAAAGAUACCAUUUUCUUUCCCA